This is a non-coding RNA of Carica papaya (papaya), 1903 nucleotides long. NCBI's taxonomy places the organism in Eukaryota, Viridiplantae, Streptophyta, Magnoliopsida, Brassicales, Caricaceae. The record is from RefSeq and is a predicted model, not a curated record.
UCCGCCUACCGUUGUUUUGCCUUCAAUCAUAACUCUGAGUGGAUACAAUCAUCAUCUUUUAGUUCCUUAUCUAUGAAUGCAAGUCAUCUUGGUGCUCAAAAGCAAUUGGACAACAACAAAGAUUAUAAUGCUUCAAAGUCAUUUCCGAGACUGCGGAGCUUUUCACCUUUCUUGGGUCUUAAACCAGAAAAUAUAUCUCUGGGCAAUUCUGCUGACUACAAGACAAAAAUUACUUCAAAUGACUGGGAACCUUCUGAACCUUUCCGACCAUCUCUUUUCAUUCGCUCUACAAGUCUAACAUCUCCUGAAAGUCUUUAUGACCCUCUUCGUGAUAGUAUAGACCAACCCAUCGUUGGAGAUAGAUCAUUUUGUGCUUCUUUCUCUAGUCAAGGUGUCCUAAAAGUAUCAGAAGAGGGCGCAUAUCGUGAUCUUACAUUGAGUGGGACUCAGGUCCCCGAAUGUAGUGAUGAUAAAAAUAGUUCAUGUUUUCAAAACAAUUACCAUGAGAACCUGCUGGAAACAGAUUGUCGUACUCCUCAUGAUGAUUUACUUACAACUGGUGCAGAGGUGGUUGGAACUUCUGUGGUUGAUGAGAAAAAUAAGAUAAUGCCAAAAGAAAAGAAAUCCUCAGUGGCCUCUCGUGUUAAAGACAUUCCAAAAACAAACAAAACUGAUGCUGACCAUGAUUCUAGGCAUCAAAGUGAUAGAUCUCGACACAAGGGCUUAAAAGCAGAUAGGGUUAAACAAGAAAAUGAUAUGGAUGUUGGAACAAAGUCAGAUGGGAGUGUUCACAAAGAACCAAAGGCGAUGAGACAAUUCCGUGCUGCACUUGUAGACCAUGUUAAAGAACUGUUGAAACCAACUUGGCGUGAAGGUCAUCUUGGCAAGGACGAUCAUAACAUUAUAGUGAAAAAAGCAGUUGACAAGGUCCUUAGCACCUUGCAGCCCCACCAAAUUCCGACUACUAUGGAAUCAGUCCACCAAUAUCUUUCUUCAGCUCAACCUAAAAUUGCAAAACUUGUGCAGGGAUAUGUUGAUAAGUAUCAUCACAAAUCUUAAGAUGCUUGGCCAGAGAAUGCUUUUUUCCUUUGUACAGAUUGGACGUUAUGAGACAUUCCUAUGUUGCAGUUGUAGACAAUGUUGAACAAGUUGGCUUGACAUGGCAUUCUCUGCAUGGGGAAACAAAUGACUGAAACAAUUUCUGGCCAAACCAUGAGGAUGAAACAGUGUCCUCUCUAUUGGCUUUCUUUCGAACUUGGUGAUUUGAUCUAGGGGAAGUCUUCGCGGAAUCAUUUUUGCUGUCUGUAGAUCUCCUCCUAGUGCCGGAUGCUGGUGAUAACCUUUUGUGAUCGUGCUCAUUAGUCGCCCGAGACUGCUUCAGUUGGUAUAAGAAUGCUUGUGGUAGGAGCUGACUUCUGGAGAUUUUGGUAACAGUCGGAGGUUUCUUGUUUAAAUUAUGAGCAAUUGUAUGUGGUGCAGCAGUGCUAACCUCCAACUGUCUGUCUUUGUCUUUGUCGCUUCCCCUGUCUCUAUUGAGAGGAGAGAGUGUUGAUUGCUGAUCCUGAAUGGAUAGGUAGCCAGCAAACGAGAGUGAGUCAAGGGAACAGUUAUCAGCUGCAACAUCUGAGGAAAUCUUGUUUUGCAAGUAAGUUGCCAUUGAUUUCCUUACAAACUUGCUUGUUGGAGCCCAUAGCAUAUAUAUACAUGAAACCUUUGUGGGGUUAUUGGUAUUUUUAGAUACCAUUUUGUUUUGAUUUGCUUGUUUUUGCAUUUAUGUAGAAUUUUGGCCGCGUUAGGGCUCAAUCUUCUUUUGAAAGCAUAAUAAAUGUAAAAUUUGGAAUAUGCUUUUAUGAUUUAAGAUUUGGGUUUGUCUCAAUAGAGGAGGAUGGGCCAGAUUUUUAUU